GCCUGAUUAUUUGGCCUCUUUUGUCACAGCCUGGGGACACCUUUCUGUUUGCGUGAGCUGCCCUUCAACACCGGAGGUUUUUGAGGCUGGCGACUGCGGCUGCCUUUCCUGGUACUUGAGGGACAGAGCACUGCCCAGGACGUGGAUUCUGAUCGUUCCUUAGGCUUCACAUACGUGACGUUGAUCCCGAAGCACCUGCUGGGGCAGGUGUGCAGAUGACCCUCUGGAUGUGUGUCUGUGGCCUGAGUCUCAGAGUCAGCCGAGCCGAUGUUCAUGGUGGACUGGAUCGUAUCCCUACUCGUAGCUGGUGAAGAAUGGGCGAGAUAGAAGGGACAUACAGAGCCCUGCAGACCCCAGGGGCUCGCCUGGGCGCCCAGCCCCUCACGGGUGUGAGCACCCUGGAGCCCGGGCAGGCUCCCUCGGCUGGGAUGGCACGGAUGGCGGCCAGAACACAGGAGACGCGCUCUCCCCU
This is a non-coding RNA of Miniopterus natalensis, 472 nucleotides long. NCBI's taxonomy places the organism in Eukaryota, Metazoa, Chordata, Mammalia, Chiroptera, Miniopteridae. The record is from RefSeq and is a predicted model, not a curated record.